GCACGAAAGCGUGGGGAGCAAACAGGAUUAGAUACCCUGGUAGUCCACGCUGUAAACGAUGAGUACUAGGUGUCGGGGGUUACCCCCUUCGGUGCCGCAGCUAACGCAUUAAGUACUCCGCCUGGGACGUACGCUCGCAAGAGUGAAACUCAAAGGAAUCGACGGGGACCCGCACAAGUAGCGGAGCAUGUGGUGUAAUUCGAAGCCACGCGAAGCACCUUACCUACGCUUGACAUCACAAUUACAUCUCCUCAAUCGGACAGUCACCUUCGGGUACAUUGGAGACAGGUGGUGCAUGGUUGUCGUCAGCUCGUGUCGUGAGAUGUUGGGUUAAGUCCCGCAACGAGCGCAACCCUUGUCUUUAGUUGCCAUCAUUAAGUU
RNAcentral lists this ribosomal RNA (381 nucleotides) under Clostridioides difficile. RNAcentral describes it as "bacterial SSU rRNA". It matches the Rfam family "Bacterial small subunit ribosomal RNA", at positions 751 to 1130 of the family's 1533-position model. The record is from RNAcentral. Lineage: Bacteria; Bacillati; Bacillota; Clostridia; Peptostreptococcales; Peptostreptococcaceae.